ACUUCGGUCACGCUAAAGUGGUGGCAAACGGCUUAGUAACACGUAAGUAAUCUGCCCUUAAGUGGGGGAUAAUCCGAAGAAAUUCGGCCUAAUACCGCAUAAUUUUUUAAUAUAUAAAUGUUAAAAAGAAAGAUUUAUCGCUUUUGGAGGAGCUUGCGGCCUAUCAGGUAGUUGGUAAGGGUAAUGGCCUACCAAGCCUAAGACGGGUAACCGAAGUGAGAGCUUGAUCGGUAAGAGGGGAACUGAGACACGGUCCCCACUUCUACGGAAGGCAGCAGCAGGGAAUUUUGCGCAAUGGACUGUAUGGUCUGACGCAGCGACACCGCGUGGAGGAUGAAUGCUUUAGGGUUGUAAACUCCUUUUCUUAGGAAAGAUGAUGACGGUACCUAAGGAAUAAGCAUCGGCUAACUACGUGCCAGCAGCCGCGGUAAUACGUAGGAUGCAAGCGUUGUCCGGAAUUAUUGGGCGUAAAGGGCGUCUAGGUGGAUUAACAAGUCCUGUGUGAAAUCUCUUGGCUUAACCAAGAAAGGUCACAGGAAACUAUUAAUCUAGAGGUCAUGAGAGGUAAGUGGAAUUCACAGAGUAGUGGUGAAAUGCGUAGAUACUGUGAGGAACACCAGAGGCGAAAGCGACUUACUAGCAUGAAUCUGACACUAAAGCGCGAAAGUGUGGGUAGCAAACCGGAUUAGAUACCCGGGUAGUCCACACCAUAAACGAUGGAUACUAGUUAUGGGAGGCUUAGACCCCUCUGUAACGAAGCUAACGCAUUAAGUAUCCCGCCUGGGGAGUACGGCCGCAAGGUUAAAACUCAAAGAAAUUGACGGGGGCCCGCACAAGCAGCGGAGCGUGUGGUUUAAUUCGAUGAUAAGCGAAGAACCUUACCAAGGCUUGAAAUAUAUCUGACAGCUAGUGAAAGCUAGUCUCCUUCGGGCAGAUAUACAGAUGUUGCAUGGCUGUCGUCAGCUCGUGCCGUGAGGUGUUGGGUUAAGUC
RNAcentral lists this ribosomal RNA (991 nucleotides) under marine metagenome. Its description in RNAcentral is "bacterial SSU rRNA". It matches the Rfam family "Bacterial small subunit ribosomal RNA", at positions 77 to 1086 of the family's 1533-position model. The record is from RNAcentral.